Molecule: non-coding RNA, 84 nt
Organism: Trametes gibbosa
Lineage: Eukaryota; Fungi; Basidiomycota; Agaricomycetes; Polyporales; Polyporaceae
Source: the annotation of a GenBank genome assembly
UCUCUGUUAGUAUAUCGGUUAGUACACGCGCUUGUCACCGAGCACUAGCCGCGCGAAAGCGGGGUUCGACUCCCCGACAGAGAG